UAGCUCAGUUGGUAGAGCGGAGGACUG
This 27-nucleotide non-coding RNA is filed under the name Bos taurus (domestic cattle). The record is from RNAcentral. Lineage: Eukaryota; Metazoa; Chordata; Mammalia; Artiodactyla; Bovidae. RNAcentral also lists the same sequence under 2 other names.